AAAACCUUUCUUUAUGGAAGUAGCUUUUAUUUUUUUUUAAGAUUUAUUUUAUUUUUAAUUUUUGAAAUGAGAACAUCUCUCACCAUCCUCUUGCAUGAUCCCCUUUACUGUGAGGGAGGUAAAAGGUACAACGUGCUGGUUUUCAUUAGUAGUGAGUAUGAGUGUGGUUAGGCAUAUUAUGGUUCAUAUAUAGACAACAAUUUACACUCCGCUACACAGAGCAUGUACUCAGAUGUUGUACACAUAUGUAACAAUGCUGUCUUGGCCCCAAAUUGCUUCCAGGUUAGGUCGUCAUUUCAAGCCCAUUUUCUCUGUGUUUUUUCUCUGUUGCAUUUUAUUGGCCUGGUAGAGAUUAGCAACUAAUCCAGCCUGAUUUUAGCAUCUUCUGCACUUGUUUGUUCCAAUUUUUGUACCCCCUGAACUCUUCCUCCCGCAUACAAUUUAUUCCCACACAUGGCAGGCAUGCUUUCUCAUGAAUUAUUUAUAUAGCUUUGGAAACUUCUGCUUUUCAAAUAAUGAGAGAAGAAAAUGUUUCUAGUGUAGGAGUCAUAAUAAGGGAGAAAUCCAGGCAGGUUGGUGUUCAAGAAGAUGGUAAAAUGCCCCAAGUUAAAAAUAAUACAUUGCUUUUGAAAGGCUGAGGAAACAUCACAAUGGCCUUUCAAAGCAAUCAUCUACCUUCAGAAACACUGCUGAGUGGCUAAAAUUAGGAGUUGAUAUCAAGCAAUGACUACAGAAGCUUUCAUUUCCCCAGUUUCUCCCAAAGGUUGGGUGGAAUAAACUCCCCCAUUGUCAAAUAUACCAAUGGCAGCCUUUGCCACCUACUUGCAUGGAGGGAGAAGCUACCCCUUCCUCUCCGGAGCUGAAAUGAUACAGCUUUACUAACAAAACCAAAAUUAAUAGCAUAUACUGCAAGAAAAUACACUAUGUGACACAGCUUCUGUGAUGCUUUGAUCUUUUAUUAUUCUGAGAAACAGAGGUAGGCUGUGCUUUCACUUCCAAAACACAGACUAAUACACAAAGCAGGAAAUACAAUAUCUAAUAAAGAUAUCUCAUUUAGACAGAAACUCGGUAAGAGUUUAAAAAAAUAAUUCAAUUUAAGAUGUGUUUUGAAAACAGGAAAGACACUGAUGGUAAUACUGAGGAAAAAAGAAUAUGCUAGCCCAGGGAAGGAGCAAGGAAUAAAGGAAAUACUCAUUUUGCAUAGGCUUCAUCCCAAGAUGGGAUAGGGAGGGUAGGAAACAUAACCUCAUGAGGACAUUUUAUUGUCUGCAGUCAGGAGCAGGAGGAGCCAGCUGCUGCCUCUGUGACACGCUAGCAGGCUGGCUGUGAGCAGGGAUGUGUUAUUGCCCCAGCACAGGGGAGCAGACGCCGUGGCCAGCGCCGUGGCCAGCGGCUCCUGUGACACACACCUCCUGUCACUGGCUCUGAUAGUCGGUGGUGUAGCUCUUGAUGUAGUUUCUGGUGGGUUGUCAUAGCAACAAGGAAACAGGCAGCUGAAAACCAAGAGCACCAGCCUGCCCUGCCUGCCCACCUGCCUGGAGGGAUGGGGGAAGCAGGGCAUGGGGCCUGGCAGAUGGGGACUGGGGGUGACCCCACCUCUAGGGGCAUGGCAUCCUCUGCAUGGGGGGUCUGAAUGCUGUUGCUCACAGACCCACUGACUUCUCCAUCCUAUCCUUCAGGCACCCACAAAGUCAAUGAGAAUUUGAGAUGCAGAGUGAACACAGGACCAGAAAAUGGAAAAUAGAAAGACUGUGGCCAUGAAAUAAAGAAGUGAAGAGGAUUUUACACAAACACUAAAAUAUUUGGUACUUCUAAAUAUGUACUCCUUACUUAAAGGAAGCAAGCCCUGAAGUCCUCUCAUAUAUACUUCCCAUAGGUGAAAUCCAUCCUUCCUUAAUCCGAACCCCAGCUGACUUUGAGGUAGAUCAUGUAGUGGGGCUGAACCUACCUGGACACCCACUGCCCACCAAAGCCACUCUGUCUGGAGGAGAGAAAAAGUAACAAAAGGCUGGUGAGUCGAGAUAUGGGUGGGGAGAGAUCAUUCAGCAGUUACGGUCAUGGGCAAAACAGGUUUGAUUUGGGAAAAUAGGUUUAAUUUAUUACCAAUCAAAUCAAAGUAGGAUAAUGAGAAAUAAAAUCAAUUCUUAAC
Taeniopygia guttata (zebra finch) is the source of this 2149-nucleotide non-coding RNA. The record is from RefSeq and is a predicted model, not a curated record. NCBI's taxonomy places the organism in Eukaryota, Metazoa, Chordata, Aves, Passeriformes, Estrildidae.